This 380-nucleotide unclassified non-coding RNA is filed under the name Hevea brasiliensis (rubber tree). Lineage: Eukaryota; Viridiplantae; Streptophyta; Magnoliopsida; Malpighiales; Euphorbiaceae. The record is from RNAcentral.
GGUGUCCAGUGCCAACGACCCGUUAUCCAGUUUUGUCAGCCUGUCAUAGGUUACCUGGAUAGUGUAAAUUAUUGAAAUUAUUUAAGCAUAUUAGCAGUUAAAAACAUUAGAAAGUAUUAAAUAAAAUGUGAAAAAGAGAUUAGCAAUAGAAACAUAACAAAAAUAUAAUUUGCAAAAUCGUAGAGAGACCUCAAAUACAAUACUCCUAGAAUAAAAUGUAUAUUGAAUAUUAUUACUGUAAGGCUAUAAACUCAGUACUUCCAAAGAGGAACGAAUUAGCAUAUAAGAUAGUUAAUACUAGAAAUGUCAUUUUAAAUCAAAUUGAUACUUGAAUAUUUAGAAUGCUUGAUUCUUUUUUUAUUUGUAUAUAUUAUUUCUUG